Coturnix japonica (Japanese quail) is the source of this 1815-nucleotide non-coding RNA. Lineage: Eukaryota; Metazoa; Chordata; Aves; Galliformes; Phasianidae. The record is from RefSeq and is a predicted model, not a curated record.
CAAUAAAUGCAGUUCCCACCUCCUAACUUUGCAGUACAAACUGGUGAAUCGUUACAGAUGUUUCAGUGUUACCAUUAGGGAAACUGGGAACUACCUUCAAAAACCUGCAAUGACAUCUUAUGAGGGAACCAUUGAUAUAUGACUCUUGUUUUUCUGAGUACUUUAAUAAUACUUCACUUUUAGAAGAAGCUGCAACUUAAAAUAAAGCCCAUUUUCGAUUUAUGUAGUUGUUACAUUUCCACCAUGGGACUACACAGCACCACAAGAGAUUCUGAAGUUAUCUGAUACUCAAAUAAGUCAACCUUGGAAUCAGAUACCACUUCAGCAGCGGGACUGCUCAGGGCCAAAUCCAGCUGAAAUUCCAGACUCCCCAGGCCAUGGCUUUCUUCCUCUGCCACCAACUAGAUACAUAAGAAUAUUGCAUCUAAGGUGAUGCCAUUAAGCCUCACAAAUUCAUCAAGAAAAAAGCCUUGUAACUCCUAAGAGGAAGAAGCAUUGUGAACAAGAAAAUCUUGCUCUAUCUAUCUUUCUCCAAAGAACCAGUUGUGUUACGCAGGACAAAAUAACAAAAACAAACAAGCAAACCAAAACUGUCAAAGGAUGCCUGAUCUGAGCCUGGCCCCACACUGUAACCAUUCUUAAUGAUCCAGGCGGUGCCCUUUGCUACUUCAGAGCCUUUCUUUCCCGUCUCUUCAAGGAUCAGAAUCUCUCUAGUGUAACUGCAGGAGGAAGAAAAGGAGAGAAAAAUGACAUGCGACUGUAUAGUUUCAGGGUAAGGACAUAAUAUAGGAGGAAACUUUCUUUAAAGAUAGGUUUGUGUUUCCUUUUAAAGGACCUAGCUGCAUUUCCAAGAGCAGAGGUGGAGGGGUCCUCCCCAGCCUUCCUGCUGUAGCUAUUAGCUCCCUUUCUCAGGCUAUAAGUACCUGAGAAGUAUCUUCUAAAUCCUGCCCCCAGUUCCUUUGGUGGGGUGAUUCCUGUAUGGCAAUAUGCCUACAACUGAUUUAAGGACUAUUCUUGAGAAUAAUCUCUGGAAAUGCUUUGAGCAUGUAUGGAAGAUGAAUUCUACUUUCUCUACUGCAGUUUUAGUAGGACACUGUGGGGAUGGUUAUUGUUGCCUUUAAAUUGAGUAUAAAUGUGGGUGUUUGAAAAUAAUUCUUAGCAAUCAUAAAACUUAUAUUUGACAAUCUUAAUCCAGGAAAAAAAAAAAAACCCACAACUGUUUUGUAUAUUGUGUUUGGCAUUCAGGGAUCAGUGCAAGCACCUCUGGGGCAAAAUUCAGCAGCUGCUUAAUAGUGGCAGCAAUGCUGCAGAACAUUCUUAGGACAUAAAAAGCAGAAGAAUAACUUAUCUAAUUGAAACUGUGUGGGGAAUUUAAGUAGGCAGAAUGUAAUUACUCAAGCUGGAAGUUGGCCAUUCAAAUAUUGAAGCCUUUAAAGAAAUGUUAAUAACUAUUCACAGCUUUAGGAAUGUAUCUUCAAAUCACAAUUUUAAUAAGAAUAAAAAAGAGAAAAUACAUUUAGCAGCUUAUGCUAGGGAAAUAUUGUAUUAACUCUAGAGGAUGAAAAUGAAGGUAAAUAUUGAAAUGUGUGUGUUAUCAUGGGAUGAGACUUUUAUGUAUCAAUCCUAUCUCCAACUAAAACCUUCUGCUAUAAAACAUAAAACUACUGCAUUGAAGUAUGUUUCUGUUUUGCUUUUACUAUGGUAAAUAGCUAUCACACACAUAAAAGAAAUUUGGCAUAAAAUAUGGAUAAUAAAAUGUCAUUUAUGAAAAUAACUUAGGGCAGUGGUUUUUGUUUCAAAAACAUACAAAAGAUG